Molecule: transfer RNA, 72 nt
Filed under: Candidatus Zixiibacteriota bacterium
Lineage: Bacteria; Pseudomonadati; Candidatus Zixiibacteriota
Description: tRNA-Lys
Rfam family: tRNA
About the family: Transfer RNA (tRNA) molecules are approximately 80 nucleotides in length. Their secondary structure includes four short double-helical elements and three loops (D, anti-codon, and T loops). Further hydrogen bonds mediate the characteristic L-shaped molecular structure. tRNAs have two regions of fundamental functional importance: the anti-codon, which is responsible for specific mRNA codon recognition, and the 3' end, to which the tRNAs corresponding amino acid is attached (by aminoacyl-tRNA synthetases). tRNAs cope with the degeneracy of the genetic code in two manners: having more than one tRNA (with a specific anti-codon) for a particular amino acid; and 'wobble' base-pairing, i.e. permitting non-standard base-pairing at the 3rd anti-codon position.
Source: RNAcentral
GGGGGUGUAGCUCAGGGGUAGAGCUCCUGCCUUUUAAGCAGGCUGUCGAUGGUUCGAUCCCAUCCACCCUCA